UUCACUUCGGUGAAUUGAUCAGUCUCACAGGAAGUCACGGCUAACUUCGUGCCAGCAGCCGCGGUAAGACGAAGGUGGCAAGCGUUGUUCGGUGUUACUGGGCUUAAAGCGUGUGUAGGCGGAAAGGUAAGCGUCUUGUGAAAUCCCCGGGCUUAACCCGGGAAUUGCUUGGCGAACUGCUUUUCUUGAGGCAAGUAGGGGUGCAUGGAACUCUUGGUGGAGCGGUGGAAUGCGUAGAUAUCAAGAGGAACGCCGAUGGAGAAAUCAGUGCACUGGGCUUGUCCUGACGCUGAGACAUGAAAGCGUGGGGAGCGAACGGGAUUAGAUACCCCGGUAGUCCACGCUGUAAACGAUGUCUACUAGGUUGCGGAGGUUCUGACACUUUCGCGACCGAAGCAAAAGUGUUAAGUAGACCGCCUGGGGAGUACGGUCGCAAGGCUAAAACUCAAAGGAAUUGACGGGGGCUCACACAAGCGGUGGAGCAUGUGGAUUAAUUCGAAGCAACGCGUAGAACCUUACCUGGGUUUGACAUGCUUGGAUGCCAUCCUGGAAACAGGGGAAGCUGCCCUUCGGGGUGAAACUUGCACAGGUGCUGCAUGGCUGUCGUCAGCUCGUGUCGUGAGAUGUCGGGUUAAGUCCUUUAACGAGCGAAACCCUUGCCGUUAGUUACCAGCGGGUCAUGCCGGGAACUCUAGCGGGACUGCCGGUGUUAAACCGGAGGAAGGUGNNGACGACGUCAAGUCAUCAUGNCCUUUAUGUCCAGGGCUUCACACGUGCUACAAUGGCGGCUAACAAAGCG
This 799-nucleotide ribosomal RNA is filed under the name uncultured bacterium. RNAcentral's name for it is "bacterial SSU rRNA". It matches the Rfam family "Bacterial small subunit ribosomal RNA", at positions 452 to 1246 of the family's 1533-position model. The record is from RNAcentral.